UACGUAGGGGGCAAGCGUUAUCCGGAUUUACUGGGUGUAAAGGGAGCGCAGGUGGCAAGGCAAGCCAGAAGUGAAAACCCGGGGCUUAACCCCGUGGAUUGCUUUUGGAACUGUCUGGCUAGAGUGCAGGAGGGGCAGGCGGAAUUCCUAGUGUAGCGGUGAAAUGCGUAGAUAUUAGGAGGAACACCGGUGGCGAAGGCGGCCUGCUGGACUGUAACUGACACUGAGGCUCGAAAGCGUGGGGAGCAAACAGG
RNAcentral lists this ribosomal RNA (254 nucleotides) under uncultured Lachnospiraceae bacterium. RNAcentral describes it as "partial 16S ribosomal RNA". It matches the Rfam family "Bacterial small subunit ribosomal RNA", at positions 524 to 776 of the family's 1533-position model. The record is from RNAcentral. Lineage: Bacteria; Bacillati; Bacillota; Clostridia; Lachnospirales; Lachnospiraceae.